Molecule: transfer RNA, 72 nt
Filed under: Loxodonta africana (African savanna elephant)
Lineage: Eukaryota; Metazoa; Chordata; Mammalia; Proboscidea; Elephantidae
Rfam family: tRNA
About the family: Transfer RNA (tRNA) molecules are approximately 80 nucleotides in length.
Source: Rfam by way of RNAcentral
GCCCUGGUAGCACUAUGGUUAAGCACUCAGCUGCUAACUGAAAGGUCAGUGGUUCGAACUCACACCACGGCU